This 1481-nucleotide ribosomal RNA is filed under the name uncultured bacterium. Its description in RNAcentral is "16S ribosomal RNA". It matches the Rfam family "Bacterial small subunit ribosomal RNA". The record is from RNAcentral.
AGAGUUUGAUCCUGGCUCACAGCGAACGCUGGCGGCAGGCCUAACACAUGCAAGUCGAACGGAUCCUUCGGGAUUAUUGGCGGACGAGUGAGUAACACGUGGGAACGUGCCUUUUGGUUCGGAACAGCUCAGGGAAACUUGAGCUAAUACCGGAUGUGCCCUUCGGGGGAAGAUUUAUCGCCCUUAGAGCGGCCCGAGUCUGAUUAGCUUGUUGAUGAGGUAAAGGCUCACCAAGGCCACGAUCAGUAACUGGGCCGAAAGGGUGAUCAACCACACUGGGACUGAAACACGGGGCCAGACACGUCGGGGAGCAGCAGUGGGGAAUUUUGCCCAUGGGGGGAAGCCUGACGCACCAUGCCGGGGGGAUGAAGAAGGUCUUAAGGAUGGAAAUUUUUUCACCGGGGGCUAAAAGGACGGUACCCGGAGAAGAAGCUGGGGGAAAUUUCGUGGGCCGCAGCCCGCGGUAAUAAAAAAGGGGGGCUAGCGGUUGCUCCGGAAUUUCUGGGGCGUAAAAGGGAACCGUAAGCGGGACAGUUUAAUCCUAAAGUGGAAAAACCCCCGGCUUCAACCUUGGAAUUGCCCUUUGAAUACUGGGUGUCUUUGAGUAUUGGAAAAAGUGUUGGGGGGACUUCCCCACCGGGAGAGGUGAAAUUUCGUAAAAUAUUUCGGAAAAAACACCCGGGGGGAAAGGCGAACACACUGGGCCCCCUUCCUUGAACUUAAGGUUCGAAAGCGUGGGGAGCCGAACAGGGAUUAAAUACCCCGUGGGUAGUCCACGCUGUAAACGAUGAGUGCUUAGUGUCGCCAUCGCAUGCAUGUCGGAUGACGCAGCUACCGCAUAAAUCCACUCCGCCUGGGGAGUACGCUCGCAAGUAUUAAAACUCAAAGGAAUUGACGGGGCCCAGCACAAGCGGUGGAGCAUGUGUUUAAUUCGAAGCAACGUGCAGAACCCUUCCCACCUUUGACAUGUCCUGAUAACUGCAGAGAUGCAGUUUUCCCUUCGGGGACAGGAACACAGGUGCUGCAUGGCUGUCGUCAGCUCGUGUCAUGAGAUGUUGGGUUAAGUCCCGCAACGAGCGCAACCCACGCCUUUAGUUUCCAUCGUUUAGUCGGGCACUAUAAAAGGGACCGCCCGGUGGUAAGCCGGAGGAAGGUGUGGAUGACGUCAAGUCCUCAUGGCCCUUACAGGGUGGGCUACACACGUGCUACAAUGGCGACUACAGAGGGCUGCAAUCCUGCGAAGGGGAGCCAAUCCUUAAAAGUCGUCUCAGUUCGGAUUGCACUCUGCAACUCGAGUGCAUGAAGUUGGAAUCGCUAGUAAUCGCGGAUCAGCAUGCCGCGGUGAAUACGUUCCCGGGCCUUGUACACACCGCCCGUCACACCAUGGGAGUUGGCUUUACCCGAAGGCGCUGUGCUAACCGCAAGGAGGCAGGCGACCACGGUAGGGUCAGCGACUGGGGUGAAGUCCUAACAAGGUAACC